GAUGAACGCUAGCUACAGGCUUAACACAUGCAAGUCGAGGGGCAUCAUGUCGGUUGCUUGCAACCGAUGAUGGCGACCGGCGAAUGGGUGAGUAACGCGUAUCCAACCUGCCCCCGGCCGGGGUAUAACCCGUCGAAAGGCGGCCUAAUCCCCCAUGUAGUCCUCUGAGGUCCUCCGAUGAGGAUGAAAGGUAUUUUUCCGGCCGGUCGAUGGGGAUGCGUCCGAUUAGCUUGCUGGCGGGGUAACGGCCCACCAGGGCUUCGAUCGGUAGGGGUUCUGAGAGGAAGGUCCCCCACACUGGUACUGAGACACGGACCAGACUCCUACGGGAGGCAGCAGUGAGGAAUAUUGGUCAAUGGGCGGAAGCCUGAGCCAGCCAAGUAGCGUGCAGGAUGACGGCCCUAUGGGUUGUAAACUGCUUUUGCGCGGGGAUAAAUUGGGGAACGUGUUCCCCUU
RNAcentral lists this ribosomal RNA (456 nucleotides) under Prevotella sp. oral taxon 376. RNAcentral's name for it is "bacterial SSU rRNA". It matches the Rfam family "Bacterial small subunit ribosomal RNA", at positions 28 to 470 of the family's 1533-position model. The record is from RNAcentral. Lineage: Bacteria; Pseudomonadati; Bacteroidota; Bacteroidia; Bacteroidales; Prevotellaceae.